UUUUUUAGCAUGGGAAUAAUGGAAUAGGACGUCGCGGUUCUAUUUUGUUGGUUUCUAGGACCGCCGUAAUGAUUAAUAGGGACAGUCGGGGGCAUCAGUAUUCAAUCGUCAGAGGUGAAAUUCUUGGAUCGAUUGAAGACUAACUACUGCGAAAGCAUUUGCCAAGGAUGUUUUCAUUAAUCAGGAACGAAAGUUAGGGGAUCGAAACCGAUCAGAUACCGUUGUAGUCUUAACCAUAAACUAUGCCGACUAGGGAUCGGGCGGUGUUAUUUCUUGACCCGCUCGGCACCUUACACGAAAGUAAAGUUUUUGGGUUCUGGGGGGAGUAUGGUCGCAAGGCUGAAACUUAAAGAAAUUGACGGAAGGGCACCACAAGGGGUGGAGCCUGCGGCUUAAUUUGACUCAACACGGGGAAACUCACCAGGUCCAGACACAACUAGGAUUGACAGAUUGAGAGCUCUUUCUUGAUUUUGUGGGUGGUGGUGCAUGGCCGUUCUUAGUUGGUGGAGUGAUUUGUCUGCUUAAUUGCGAUAACGAACGAGACCUUAACCUGCUAAAUAGCCCGUGCCGCCUAGGCGGCACGCCGGCUUCUUAGAGGGNUAUCGGCCUCGAAAGCCCNNNNU
This 623-nucleotide ribosomal RNA is filed under the name Phomopsis sp. ML5. RNAcentral's name for it is "SSU rRNA". It matches the Rfam family "Eukaryotic small subunit ribosomal RNA", at positions 800 to 1442 of the family's 1831-position model. The record is from RNAcentral. Lineage: Eukaryota; Fungi; Ascomycota; Sordariomycetes; Diaporthales; Diaporthaceae.